RNAcentral lists this ribosomal RNA (432 nucleotides) under uncultured Fusibacter sp. RNAcentral's name for it is "bacterial SSU rRNA". It matches the Rfam family "Bacterial small subunit ribosomal RNA", at positions 954 to 1382 of the family's 1533-position model. Lineage: Bacteria; Bacillati; Bacillota; Clostridia; Eubacteriales; Fusibacteraceae. The record is from RNAcentral.
AAGCAACGCGAAGAACCUUACCAGAUCUUGACAUCCAAUUGACCAUCUUUUAAUCGAGAUUUUGCCUUCGGGUACAAUUGAGACAGGUGGUGCAUGGUUGUCGUCAGCUCGUGUCGUGAGAUGUUGGGUUAAGUCCCGCAACGAGCGCAACCCUUGUGUUUAGUUGCAAACAGGUCAAGCUGUGCACUCUAGACAGACUGCCGUGGACAACACGGAGGAAGGUGGGGAUGACGUCAAAUCAUCAUGCCCCUUAUGAUCUGGGCUACACACGUGCUACAAUGGUCGGUACAACGGGCAGCGAAGGAGCGAUCCGGAGCGAAUCCUAAAAAGCCGGUCCCAGUUCGGAUUGCAGUCUGCAACUCGACUGCAUGAAGUUGGAAUCGCUAGUAAUCGUGGAUCAGCCAAGCCGCGGUGAAUACGUUCCCGGGCCUU